GAGUUUGAUCCUGGCUCAGAUUGAACGCUGGCGGCAUGCCUUACACAUGCAAGUCGAACGGCAGCAUGAUCUAGCUUGCUAGAUUGAUGGCGAGUGGCGAACGGGUGAGUAAUACAUCGGAACGUGCCCUGUAGUGGGGGAUAACUAGUCGAAAGAUUAGCUAAUACCGCAUACGACCUGAGGGUGAAAGUGGGGGACCGCAAGGCCUCAUGCUAUAGGAGCGGCCGAUGUYUGAUUAGCUAGUUGGUGGGGUAAAGGCCCACCAAGGCGACGAUCAGUAGCUGGUCUGAGAGGACGAUCAGCCACACUGGGACUGAGACACGGCCCAGACUCCUACGGGAGGCAGCAGUGGGGAAUUUUGGACAAUGGGCGAAAGCCUGAUCCAGCAAUGCCGCGUGUGUGAAGAAGGCCUUCGGGUUGUAAAGCACUUUUGUCCGGAAAGAAAUGGCUCUGGUUAAUACCUGGGGUCGAUGACGUACUGAAGGU
Molecule: ribosomal RNA, 486 nt
Filed under: uncultured beta proteobacterium
Lineage: Bacteria; Pseudomonadati; Pseudomonadota; Betaproteobacteria
Description: bacterial SSU rRNA
Source: RNAcentral